RNAcentral lists this ribosomal RNA (497 nucleotides) under uncultured bacterium. RNAcentral's name for it is "partial 16S ribosomal RNA". It matches the Rfam family "Bacterial small subunit ribosomal RNA", at positions 28 to 507 of the family's 1533-position model. The record is from RNAcentral.
GAUGAACGCUGGCGGCGUGCCUAAUACAUGCAAGUCGAGCGAACAGACGAGGAGCUUGCUCCUCUGACGUUAGCGGCGGACGGGUGAGUAACACGUGGAUAACCUACCUAUAAGACUGGGAUAACUUCGGGAAACCGGAGCUAAUACCGGAUAAUAUAUUGAACCGCAUGGUUCAAUAGUGAAAUACGGUUUUGCUGUCACUUAUAGAUGGAUCCGCGCCGCAUUAGCUAGUUGGUAAGGUAACGGCUUACCAAGGCAACGAUGCGUAGCCGACCUGAGAGGGUGGUCGGCCACACUGGAACUGAGACACGGUCCAGACUCCUACGGGAGGCAGCAGUAGGGAAUCUUACGCAAUGGGCGAAAGCUUGACGGAGCACCGCCGCGUGAGUGCUGAAGGUCUUCGGAUCGUAAAACUCUGUUAUUAGGGAAGAACAAAUGUGUAAGUACCUGUGCACGUCUUGACGGUACCUGGUCAGAAAGCCACGGCUAACUACGUG